Molecule: long non-coding RNA, 723 nt
Organism: Cannabis sativa
Lineage: Eukaryota; Viridiplantae; Streptophyta; Magnoliopsida; Rosales; Cannabaceae
Exons: 3
Source: RefSeq, a predicted model, not a curated record
UUAGUAUACCCAACACUUAUUAACUGUUGGAAAAAGAUGCAUUUUAUAUUUAAUUAAUAAUUUAUUCAAAAAAAAAAAUCUGGGCUGAAACUAUUGGGACAGGUUCGAAAAUUUCAGACCAAUAUCCAAAUCUCAUCUCUCUCGACAAUAACCCUAAUUUUCAGACCUCACCACGAUUUUGUUCGACUAUUCUGACGGCAGCUCCUCACCACGAGCUUGGGAAACGAUUCACAAGUCUCUCCGCUUCUCCCUCAUUUCUUCAAUUGAGUUAUGCCAAGAAAUUCCACCGGACUUCACCUUUGCUCUGUCCGGUUCCAGAGUUUAAAAGGAGCAUAUCAUUCUCUUACACUAACAAAGAAAUCAAUGAAAUACGUGACGAAUGGGCAAAGUAUGUCAUGCAGAUGAUGGCAGGAGGCAAAUGACUAAUAACAUAGAGUAUGAUGACCAAUGAUCGCUCAUGGACGAUCCCCAUGUGAUCCAAGAAGACGGUUGAUAGGUUUGACAUCGAUCACAGUUACUAUUGUCUUGCUUUUUUGGUUUUUAGGAAGUGAUCUCCAGCUAUUUGAUUAAAGUCCCAAGUGACUACCUAUUUUUAGAUGUUCUGAAGAUAUUCUACAAAAGAUUGCAAAAUGUAAAAACUUAAUUGGAUAUUUGUUCUUAUGGAUUUCAUGAAGCUUUAAUCCUUUUGAAGAGUGUUAAAUGUAUGAAUUUUUUUUAUAAAAA